CUUCGUAUUAUUCAGAUCUUUAUUUAUAUUUUGUUUCAAUAAGAUACAACAUCAAUUCACCAAUCAUCAAUACUAACAUACUUCAACUUUCAACAUGUUUUGAUAUAUAAAUUAACUAACUCGUCAAUGGUAAGAGGUGAAGGACAAUGUCAUCAUUAGUUUGUCUAUUGUAAGAAGUGGAGGCCAAUGUAAUCAUUAACUUUUCUAUGGUAAGAGUAGAAGGUAGGUCCCCCAUUGAUAAGAAGAAUUCAUUGUAUUAUUUAUCAUUUCACUUGGUGGUUCCAACUUCCAUCUGAGAUGAGCAUGUUAACAGUCAAAAGUCGGAAUAAUGCAAACAUAUGACACCAUCUCAAAUGGCUUCAUAAUGUUUUAACAAAAGUUUAAACAAAUUUAGCACUGCAAAAAAAUGGUCUCUUUUUUAACUUAUACUUUAGAUUAGAUAAUCUCAACUCCAAAAAAACAUUUUCGAAAUGAUGCAAUUCUCAUCAAUGAAAUUUGUUUUUUUGUGCUUUUGACCAAUAUAUAUAUUUUGCAAACAGAUGUAUCAAUUCAUAAUUUUGAAAUGAUUAAUAAAUUUAAUAAGCAGGGAUUAAUUUUCCUUGAACAACAACAUAUUAUAAAUAACAAAAAGUUGUUAUUGACAUUAAAAAAAAGGUUGUUUCGUCUUGUCUCAUCUUUUUUCGCAGUUCAAACAACACUUUGAAUAUGGGAUUCAUGGAUUGACGAUGUGGUACAGUACAAUGUAUUUAAAUCUGACAUGAUGAAGCAAACUACAAUAAUACACUCCUAUCUCACAUGUUUUGUAUUUGUUUUAAAUUUAAAUUUCCAGACCAAGGACUUAACAAAGAAAAGAGACGUGUUUAAUCAAAAUUUACAUAUGGUCCAUUCAAUAAGAAACACAUCAAAAUAUAAAUAAAUUACUUGCUCAAUAUUUGGAGACUAUAUUCACAUUCAGAUAUAUGUAUUGAAACAACUUGCCCACAGCAAAUGUUUUUCAUUACACUAAAAAUAAAAUCUAGAUUGUGUAAUCCAUGUUAACAUACACUUACCCUACAUCAUACAGCAUUGUAUAUCUUGGAUUCACAUUCAGACAUAUAUAAAAAAAAUUAUACACUAACACCUCCAUUAAACAUGUAAACAAAAUAAUCUCAUAAGAAAAUAACACAAUGGUUUUUAGAAUAAUAUACUUCUGGCACAAAUAUUUUGCCAUUUUUUGUUAAUAUUUUUUUUUGUCAUUUCCAUAAAUCUUUU
Molecule: long non-coding RNA, 1251 nt
Filed under: Mytilus galloprovincialis (Mediterranean mussel)
Lineage: Eukaryota; Metazoa; Mollusca; Bivalvia; Mytilida; Mytilidae
Source: RNAcentral